This 9228-nucleotide long non-coding RNA is filed under the name Olea europaea subsp. europaea. The record is from RNAcentral. Lineage: Eukaryota; Viridiplantae; Streptophyta; Magnoliopsida; Lamiales; Oleaceae.
CUGAUUUUAACUUAUGUCUAUGUAGCAUGAUUCCAUCAAGUAUACAGUUAAGUUUUCUAUUUUUGCUGUAGUUCAUUUAUAUAAUAUGGACAUGGUUAUGUGAGUAGCAGAAUGCAAGAUCGGUAUAUCGUUUUAGUUUUUGACAAUAUGUUACUGGGAUAUUUUCUAGAAUGGGUUAUGGGGAGAUUGUCUGCGCAUUUUGGAAAGACGUGCAGUACUUGAGGUAAACGCAAAUAAAAUGGUUGGAUUAUUUGUCUCUAAAAGAAAUUGUAACUAUCAUACAAUAAAUUACCAAAAUGUGCAGCCCGUGUAAGAUUAACUCAAUCUCUUCUACUUCGCCUAUGUUCCGAUCCACACUGGCACAACAAAGUCCAGGAGCCAAUGACAUGAAGAAGACAUCAACAAAAGUGAUGUCAUAUUAAAGUUUUCUCGAAAGAGAACAUGAGGAUAUUAAUCAAUUAAAAGAGGGAUACAAGUAUUUUGAGCCCUGUUACAUAUGAAGAACUUCAUUAACACGUACACGAAGUCGUACUCAUCUAUUACAACAGAUUUGAUUUCUUGUAGCUUCAAGCUGGAAGCUUCAAAUACUCUUUUUUUGCUGAAAGAUUCAUUGUGAGUGAAAUAGGUUGGUUAUCCAGUGUGCUUAAUUCCAAAAAAAUUAGAGAAAUGAAAGAAGUUGGAUAGAAUUGAUUAAAAAACUAAUUGAUUGUGCAAAGCCAAACCGUGAGUGCAAAUUAUCUCCUACCCAACGUGAACUAAUGCAGGAAGAAAUUGUUAAAAUAUGAAUUUUUGGAGGUAAUAAUUUCCCUUGUCAUAUGAUUUCUAGAGCUUUCCUGUUUCUUGGUUUCUUAGAUAUGUUAUAUCUAUAUAAUUGUGUUCCCUCUCUAAUUUGGUUUUAGUGCGUUCGUUGUCAUUUAUAAUUACCUUGGCAUCAAAGUUGUACUCAUCCUGUAAAUACCUUUCAUAAAUUGCUCAGCAGUUCUAUUAGAACUUUUUAGACUUCACUACAAAUUGCAGUCCCAUUUUCUAGGUUUAUUUUGGUGUUACAAAACUAGCUUUGAAUAUCGGUUGAAGAAUAAUUUAUUCUUUCAUGCUUCUGCCUGUGGAGAGCCUUAGACACCAAUAUAAAUUUUGCAAUACUACUGUUUUGAUGGCAUUCAGGUCAGCAUACAAUUAUGUUUUUCAUGAAAUGGAAAGUUAAAUGAAGAGGGGUGGAUUUUUACAAAAAAUGUCAGCCUGCUUUGGAAAGAAGUGAGACAAAAACUGGUGUUUUGGGAAAAAAAGGGGGUGUGUGUGUGUCUCAGAAAUUAUGUAUGAAAUUAUUCUUUUGGGGCUUUAUCAGUUAAAUUUGAAUGCUGCUCUACAUUUAUUUGUUAUUCAUACUCCAUCAUGUGGGCUUCCUAAUGCACAUAUGAUAUACUGAUUCAAAGUUGCUGGGUACGUUUGGUAAAUGAAUUUUGAAUUGUAUCUCUCAUAUGCCUUCCAUCCCGUUGCCAAUUGUCCAGUGUCCUAAUUUCUAUUUCUAUUUCUAUUUCUUCUGGAAAAAUUUAAGAAUUGGAAGUAAUAUCUGUUAGAUUGAUGAAUGCACUACAGUGGUAACCAGUUUUAUGACCUUUGUUCUUCAUCCAUAAAAUUGGUGUUUAUGCGUACUUAGACAUUAAUUGUUUAUCCCUGAAAUAAAUGAAUGUUCAUCUUUUUUCUUUUGCCAUGGUGCUUUGACUUUUGCCAUUAUUUUAUGCGCACCUGUGUCCUUGAAAAUUCAAAUGAGACGUUUCUUCUCUCUUUCCUGAUUGAUUUUGAAUCGUUUGCCUUUUCUCAAGAGAAUGAUAAUAUUCCACGCCUGUCUAGUUUUACGAAUGAAGCAGGAAGUUGUUAAGUUCAUAUGCGAUCCUACUAGGGAGCAGAUGGAGUUCCAGCAGCUGCCUACUUCUUAUUUGCGUUUGAUGUGUAGCCCAGCUCUACUCACUGCAAUCAAUGGUUUUAUUGGAUAAUAAUCAGCCUGAUGGUUCUGGUUCCAGAAUCAUUGUACACAAGACUUCUGAUCUUCAGCUUCCUUCGAUUCGUCUUGCUGAUGUUCCUGUAAAUCUACCUGAUGAAGAUACUGGUGUUAUUAAGGUUGCAAUCAAGCAGAGGCCACAGAGGUUUUCACCCUCUCGAAGCAGUUCUAAUUCACACUCAUCGAAAUCUAAUAGUGCUAAAAGUGUGGAGCAACGAACGGAGGAAUACGAAAGGGCUCGAGAUCGGAUAUUUAAUUCCAGUAGAUCUAGUGCAAGUUCCGGUGACAACCUAGAAAGUGAAUCGAGGAUGCACAAAAGUUUCCAGCAAGGUUCACUGGAGAUAACAAAGGUGGAAGAGAGAAUUCUCCCAGAAGGUGGCUCUCAAGUCAAUCCGGGAAGAAAUUCAUUAGAUUCUUCUGCAGUUAGCAAUAGACCACAUAGAAGUAGGACAGAAAAGGAGAUAAUUGGUGGGUCAAAAAAUAAUAAUAAAGUGGCCAUCUUUCGGGAUCGUGAAGUUGAUUGUAAGGAUCCUGACUAUGACAGGAGCUAUGACAGGUAAUCCCCUUUCUCGGCUCCCAAAAAAAUUCAAGUUACCGCUUCCUACUCAGUGAUCUGUAUGAUCUAUGUUAUGAGUAUAAUCUUUUUUUGUUUGUUCUCUCGUUGUGGUUGAUACUUGGAUUUUCUUUAAUAUAGAUGGCCUUUCUAUCAAUUUAUUUUUCAUUUUAAGCAGUCUCUCACUCACUCUCUUACCUGGUCUAUCCAUACAUUUGACUGUGCACUCAUUGAAUAAAUCCAUUCAUUAAAUAUGAAACUUUUACUUUUUAGCCCUUUCCCCCUUAAACCAGGGGUCUGAUAUGUAGACAUACAGCUUCUUUUUUGGCAUUUUGUGUAUAUGUAACUCAGUUUUUGUAUUAGCUUGUGGAUUAAAUUUGUUUGGGAUUGGUUUAAGGUUUUUUUAACCUCAGCAGGCCUGGACUAAUAUUUUAGUAUUUUUCUCAGAUAUACGCAAAGGUUUGACCCUGGGUUUAGAUUCAAUGGAGGCCCCUACACUAUCCAACCCAUGUAUGCACCUGCAUUGAACUAUAACACUGAAUUUCAUCAACUUGGAUCAAAUCAUAGGCCUUCGAUUUCAGCUGAACAUCGCCAGCACCUACCUGGGCGAUGGGCCGUAACAUCAGCUCCUCCUGGUUUUGGGUAUGGUCGCCCAGAAAUCAUGAUGUCCCCGUUUCUUCUCAAUCAUGUCAAUGCACACUCAAACUCUGCUCUUUACCUAUAUUCUGUCCAGAAUCAUUGUCAGCACUCUGGACUGCCAUUUAUCCAUCCCCGUGAAGUCAUUCACCAAUCCUUUUCACAGGUAUGAUAAGUGAAAUAAGUCUUAUCUGUCCUUUGGUUCCAAUCUGGUUGGCAAGUUAUUAUUGAUUAUCUUUCUGCAUUUUCACUAACAUCUCCUCCCCAUCCCUAAUGCUUCCCUCAGAAAGGAUUGAAGUAAUGUAAACUGUAGAUCAAAAGACAAACCAGUUAAAGAAAAUUAGAGAAAUAGACCCUUGAACCAAUUUCAGUUUAGGAAUACUAGUGCAACUAUUGUAUAAUUGGAAUUUAAUUAUGUCGUGACUCCAGUGUUUGUUCCUCGAUCCACUCCCCUUCCCUAUUAUUACUCCAUAGGGCAGCUGCUGUCUCCGGUUCCUCACUACCCAGUUGCCUGAAGCCUGCAUUGCCAACUACACUACCUCAUUUCUUUCAUAAACAGCAGAAUAAGUAAAAAUCCACAUUAAUAAACCACUAACGUAUGGGCUACAGGGGGAGAAGAAGAUCUGAGAUUAGCAGUUCGAAUUCAACCCAAUGAGGACAGCCAAGGAGCGUAGCUGAGGGAGACAAUCGUUAUAAUUUGUUGACUAGUUUUAAAUCUGCGUUGCUGAUAACAUUUUAUGUUUAGCUGGUAGCCAUAUGCCCUAGCUAACAUUAUGAGACAAGAUAUGUGCCAUAGUGCUCUGUAACGAAAGUACUAUGAGUUGAGUAUGGAGUCUUGUUAGCUGUGUGUUUUACACAUUACUUUUCCAGCGUAUUGCUCGUUCUUUUCCAAUGGAGAAAUCUUAGAGUACACUCCAUGUAUUCAUUUUCUUUCUCAAGACACAUAAAGUGUCAUCUAUCAACUUGAUUUAUAUACUUUAAUAAAUUAUUUUCUUUUUAGCAAUUUGUUGUUUGAUUCCAGAAAAAAGGGAAAAGAAAUGAGGUGAUCCUGCUUGCUCAUGUUCUAUGUUUGUCUUCUGUUUGCUUCUUUCUAUCUUGUGUUUAUCAAAUACUGCUAUCAAUUUCUCUUUGAAUGAAAAUGAGCAACCCAUUCCUCCCUGCUUCUCCUUCUGUUAUCUCUCCUUUUCCUUCUGUAGGAACCCACAAACAACACAGAACAUUCACACAGCUAAAGACCAAAAGUGCAGAUCUGAAGAAAAUAAAACGCAACAUAUUUUUAGGCCGAAGCCCCGAGGUUCAGCGAUCAACAAGACCGCCUAAUCCCCGUUGAGCAUCCACGGAGGAAUAAGCUCGAAUCCACUAAAUCAGCCAGCCAAAACCAACAAAGUAUCGAUUACAACGGAACACACAGUUCCACAAAUUUCGUACAGCACAACACAACAACUUCUCUACACAACAAGAACUCACACAAGAGUUCACAGAACUAAGUUUUCUCUACAAAGAUCACUCAAAAUCAAAACCCAAAAAAUCACAAGAAAAAUACAGAGAGAAAACUCAAAACGAGAAGAAGCUGCGCGAAUAUGAAAAAAAAAGGGUUCUCUAACCCUAGAGUCUUUUGACUCAAUUAAAAGGGGCAGCUCAAUCAUCUCAAUCCAACGGCUCACCAUUCACCACGCGUUGACGAUCCAUAAGAGUUGUUAUUUUAAAACUGAAAAUGUGUUUUUGUUAAAACCAAAUUGGUUCCAGAUUCUUCCAUUAAAUGGGCUGUCAAUUGGGUCAUGAGCUGGGUCUUUACUUGGGCCCCUUUAAGUAGCUGGGCUGGACUCCACAAAAGCAGCAACAUACUUCACACCUUCCUUCUCUCACUCUUUCCCCCUGAAACAACAAAGCCAUUGUAAAGAAUAUGUUUCAGCCAUGCAAUGCGAACUAUAAAGGGUUCCCCACCACUAUUUUAUGAUUCCUAGCUUAGGCUGUAUACAAACACGAAUAGAUGACUUCAGAAUAACUUAAUUUCUGUCCAUUUGACAUUUCUAGAUGCCAAUCUUCGAGUAGCUAUUUAUCAUAUUUUUACCAGUUUGUUGUCUAUUGGAAUCCCAAGUUCUUAAGAAAAUGAUUUUACUGCAUGCUUGUAGCAUAAGGGCUCUGCUAUUGAACUUGAAGCCAACAAGUAAAUAGAGAGCUCUAGGAGGAAGAGUAUCCUAAAAAUGAUGUAAUGCAGUUUAAAGUGAAAUGAAGACAGAAUAUGAUUAUUCUAUAUGACCACAAAAUAACUGCCAAAUUGGAAUAUGUGGAAUGGCAAUUAGGUCACAUUUUGUUCUAUGAUAGUGACUGUUGUGCAUUAAAAGACAAAAUGCUAAUAGGAUGAAUAUAGCAAAAAUAAAGAUGUCAAGAAUGCAUUUUGACACUAGAACGGAUAUAUUUAGAAUGAGGAUGUAUGCUUAGAAGUGAUUUAGCACUAAUCGAGGAUAAAUUAAGGUGACAGUAGUAUAGUCAUUUGAGUUAUGUCUUUUGUAAACCUAAAGCAGUUCCCACAUACUAUUACGUCAGAAUUUUGGUAGAACAUGUUAGAAAGAGGGAUAAACGGACCAAAAUUAACAUGGCUUUAGAUGGUUGCAAGAUAUUUGAUUUUCUAGGACAUUUCAAAGAUAUCUUUUAGUUGAUCAAAAUGGAGGAAAUGGACUUUUAUAACCAACUAUAAAUUUAAUGGGAAUAGAGUUUUAACAUUUUUUGGCAUUAUGGAGGGAGGGGGUGUGGAGAGGCACAAUGUGACGUUCCUUAGGUACCAGCGAUGUGCUUUGGGUAGAAAAGGUUGGGAGUAGAAUGCGUUUGUGAGGACUUCAACAAAAUUGAAGACCCCAAAUCCUGUUCAAUUUUUGGUUUGACAUUGACAAAUUUGUCAAAAUGAAGAAAAGAAUAAAAAAAGUUGGCACUAGAUUAACGUUUAUGGGCCCCACCUGACAUUUAAAUUUAAUCAAUUUUAGUAAGCUCUCAAAUCUUCCCUUCUCGGUUUUGAAAAAUGAAAAUUUUAGAUCUUAAUAUGUAGUUAAAGGCAUCAUGACAUAAUUUGCGUCAUUCUGUAAAUGUAGCAUUUAGUAGGAACCUUAGAACCUCAAUACUUUGACUUUUUGCCAUAGGACAGUUGUUUGAGACAGACAAAAAUGGAAACUUGAUAUUCUAUUAUGUUUUUGGAUGGUUGUAUUCCAAUCUUGCUUCAAUUGUGUAGAUUUUUUUUCUGAAAUUUGAUUUAAACUAGAGCUAUUUUUUGUUUGGACUCGUUAUUUAUCAUCAACAUAGAUGCGUGACAACCUGACUAUUUUGCACAUCUCUUUUCAUUUUAAUCAGCAGCAACCCAAUAGCAGUGUUGGAAUAUCCAGGCCCUGGUGAGGGGCUUGGGCCAUGCCUGCACCCUGUCAGCAUAUUCUUGGGUUUGACCCUGUUACGGCUGCUAGGGCAGCAUACUUGUCCGAGCUGGCCAGGGUGCAGGCACAAGCAACCGAGAUGCUCUAGGUGGACACUCUUAACCUGCAUUACCUACUUUUGUCCAUGCUGUAACUCGGUUUAAUAGAGCUUCCUUUGGAGCUCAUUGGUCAUGGCACUGCAAAUGGUGGAUGAGUUCCCUAGAACUCUGCAUUUGCACUGAUGAUGAUGAAAAAUAUUGGAACAAGAAGAGGAAUUUUUAUAGCUCUGAAAACACGAUUCUAUGUUGAGCACAGGUAUCUUGACAUCUUAAUCCGACUUUAAUUUUUAGGUCUGGGAUAUAAUAUUGUUAUUAAAAAAGGGAUGCCCAUUUUGUGAACUUAGCUUUCUUUUUUCUGUUGCAGCAUCUGCACAUAUUAAAAAGCACGAUUGACUGAGGGAUAUGUUGAAGAGUAGGCAGAAAUUGCAUACUUUGGUGCUUGGCUAACAUGUGGUUUGUAUGAUUGUUACCUGUCUUAUACCAGAAAAUUUUCUGUUUCAUUAAUCAUUAUUAUGAAUUAUAUUGGCGAACAGUUUUAUUUUUCUUGUUUAACUCUUAUCUAUGGCCACUCGAAGAAGUAUUUUCUUUGCUGAGUAUUCUAAUUCUUCAAUAAUCUGAGGGACUACUCUAAUGGUUGCACUUUGAUAUUUCUUUCUGGUAAGUCUGAAAAAUGAUGCCUUUACUGUUCUUUUGCUUUGGUCUAGCCUGUUGACGACGGAUGUGCAUUUCUCCAUAGUUCUGAAUGCAGUUAUUUCUCUUGUUGACUUUUUGGGGAAGACUAUGGGGCAUAUUUCUGUUUUUGACGAAAAUCUGGACUAAUUUCCCAAAAAAAGGUGUUUGAUGAAUAGAGGAGAAGGGUAUUAUUGUUUAGUACUGAGUAUUGUUAUGAAAUUAUGUAAUGGAGGAAUCAUGGAAGUCUUGAAUCGGUUGCUUUUGGUGUUACGAAAAUCAUUUAAUUAAUUUUGGAACUGUCCUGAAGAAAAUCAUUUUUUCUAUUCCUUAAAAUUCAUAUUUUUUCCCAAAUUCAUUUUUAACCUUACAUUUGGUGGGAUUCACAGCUUUUUAUCAAUUAUUCAACAAUACAUUUAAAUAAACUUUUAUCAAAAUGUAUUAAAAAUCUGAUUUUUAUCCAAAUCAAAGUAGGUUUUAGCAAGUCAAGAGUUCUAUUUAGUCUAUAUAUCUUCCAGUAAUGUCAGUGUCAUGAGAUGGGAAAAUUAGUUCAGCAAUAUGCUCAAUGGUUGGCUUAAACAUGACGCGACAUGUGAACAUUUAUGUUCGAUAGAAGACCGUUCAUGUUUCAACCUGUCCCUUCUAGACAAGGCAUUUCUUUUCAGAACAUGUUUUUACAAGCAACAAUAUUUCUCAUACAUAACUUUUGGCUUAUUAUAAACGGAUUUUCAUGCUUUAUUUUUUCAGAUAAAUAUUCACAGCAAUCUGACUGACCUUUAUGCUUGGCCCUGUAACUUCCCAGUGACGUUUUGGCGCAGCAAGAAUAAUGCUUCCCUUCCCCACCUCAAUGUUGGCAAUUGCAUAUGCUGAGUCAUGUUUAUGCAAUUGCAUAUGCUGAAUCAUGUUUAUGGUGUCACAAUAUGCAUGUCGCCGUGUCUUUGUCAUCUUAUCUCUUCCCGUGCAUAUCAACAUUCCUACUGCUCCCUGUUUUGUUCCCCAGAAUUUCACACAUUUAUUUAUUUUUUUUUUUUUUUUUGGCAAAUGCAACUUUCACGUGCUACUUGGCCUCAAUACAAAACCAAAGCCCUUUAUUACGACAAAAAGGGCUUUGCACAUAGCUUUUUUUCUGCUUAUUUUGCUUCAAACUUGUGUUCUUCUCGUGUCCAUGCUUGUUUCUCUAGUAUAUCCAUCCAUUUCUCUCUCUCUCUCACUCUCACUCACUCUCUCUCACUCUCUCAAUAUAUAUAUAAAGAUUUAUCUCACUAAGAAACAAUGCAUAUAAGAACAGUUCCUUCUUGGCCCCCAACAUCUCCCUGGACCCUGGUAAUUUCUCAUAGGUAAGUUGCUUAUAUUUUUUGAGUAACUUGUUUGUUUGGAUACGUUAUUUUUCUUCAUUGUUUGGACCAACAAAGAAGUUAAUUGUUUUAAAACUUGCUUAAACGAAGUAACCAUGUUUCCUGUAUGGAUGCUUUAUUUUCAGGAGCAAAUACAAUUAGGUUGCCAUGGAGAAGCAGAAUUCAGAGCUGUACUUGAAGAACUGCCAUAUUUUUCUUGAAAAUGAGAGGCUAAGGAAGAAAGCGCAACGGCUCGACCAGGAGAAUCGGGCUUUGUUAUCUGAGCUGCAGCACAGACUUUCAGAAGCAAAUUCAGCACAAAAAAAUGAAUUUGGUAUCAACACCACACCAAAAAAUUCUACGACAGAUCAUAGGAAGUCCAACAAGCCUUGAUCAACUCAUCCCCCGGCCCAUGUAAUGAAUGAGUUUAGUGUAAAAUAAGGUUUAUCUGUAAUGUUUGAUUCUUUGAAGUAUCCAUGAUCAUGCCUUGAAACUUGUUUGGAUAAUUUGUGAGACGGAAUAAUGUAAUAAAUAUUAAAUGUUUGUUUACGUGAAUAAACAGAGCUACUAAAUUUCGCCAUUA